RNAcentral lists this ribosomal RNA (523 nucleotides) under uncultured bacterium. RNAcentral describes it as "partial 16S ribosomal RNA". The record is from RNAcentral.
GUAGUUAGCCGGGGCUUUCUUACAGGGUACCGUCACUUCUUCGUCCCCUGCGACAGAGGUUUACAAUCCGAAAACCUUCUUACCCUCACGCGGCGUUGCUGGGUCAGGCUUGCGCCCAUUGCCCAAUAUUCCCCACUGCUGCCUCCCGUAGGAGUCUGGACCGUGUCUCAGUUCCAGUGUGGCCGAUCAGCCUCUCAGCUCGGCUACCCAUCGUCGGCUUGGUGGGCUGUUAUCUCACCAACUACCUAAUGGGACGCGAACCCCUCUAAAAGCGAUAAAUCUUUGACCUCUUCCCGAUGCCGGGUUGUGGUCUUAUGCGGUAUUAGCAGUUGUUUCCACCUGUUAUUCCCCACUCUUAGGCAGGUUGUUCACGCGUUACUCACCCGUGCGCCACUAGAAUUAUCAAUUCCAUCCGAAAACUUCCUUAAAUAAAUCCCCGUUCGACUUGCAUGUGUUAGGCACGCCGCCAGCGUNUCUNAGCCAUAAUACAAACUACUAGACUANAGAGGCGNGCGAGACGACG